GGGGAUGUAGUUUAGUAAAAAAUAUGACUUUUACACAGUUAAGAUGGGCUCUAGGAGCUCUGUCCCGU
This 68-nucleotide transfer RNA is filed under the name Phallusia mammillata. RNAcentral describes it as "transfer RNA-Val". The record is from RNAcentral. Lineage: Eukaryota; Metazoa; Chordata; Ascidiacea; Phlebobranchia; Ascidiidae.